AGUGAACGCUGGCGGUAGGCCUAACACAUGCAAGUCGAACGGCAGCACAGUAAGAGCUUGCUCUUACGGGUGGCGAGUGGCGGACGGGUGAGGAAUACAUCGGAAUCUACUUUUUCGUGGGGGAUAACGUAGGGAAACUUACGCUAAUACCGCAUACGACCUACGGGUGAAAGCAGGGGAUCUUCGGACCUUGCGCGAUUGAAUGAGCCGAUGUCGGAUUAGCUAGUUGGCGGGGUAAAGGCCCACCAAGGCGACGAUCCGUAGCUGGCCUGAGAGGCUGAUCAGCCACACUGGAACUGAGACACGGUCCAGACUCCUACGGGAGGCAGCAGUGGGGAAUAUUGGACAAUGGGCGCAAGCCUGAUCCAGCCAUACCGCGUGGGUGAAGAAGGCCUUCGGGUUGUAAAGCCCUUUUGUUGGGAAAGAAAAGCAGCAGGUUAAUACCCCGCUGUUCUGACGGUACCCAAAGAAUAAGCACCGGCUAACUUCGUG
This 492-nucleotide ribosomal RNA is filed under the name uncultured bacterium. RNAcentral describes it as "partial 16S ribosomal RNA". It matches the Rfam family "Bacterial small subunit ribosomal RNA", at positions 29 to 507 of the family's 1533-position model. The record is from RNAcentral.